Molecule: ribosomal RNA, 924 nt
Filed under: Streptomyces pratensis
Lineage: Bacteria; Bacillati; Actinomycetota; Actinomycetes; Kitasatosporales; Streptomycetaceae
Description: bacterial SSU rRNA
Rfam family: Bacterial small subunit ribosomal RNA
Source: RNAcentral
UGCAUGCAGCGUACAUACCAUGCAGUCGUACAGGUACCGUAAGUGGUGGAUUAGUGGCGAACGGGUGAGUAACACGUGGGCAAUCUGCCCUUCACUCUGGGACAAGCCCUGGAAACGGGGUCUAAUACCGGAUAACACUCUGUUCCGCAUGGAACGGGGUUGAAAGCUCCGGCGGUGAAGGAUGAGCCCGCGGCCUAUCAGCUUGUUGGUGGGGUAAUGGCCUACCAAGGCGACGACGGGUAGCCGGCCUGAGAGGGCGACCGGCCACACUGGGACUGAGACACGGCCCAGACUCCUACGGGAGGCAGCAGUGGGGAAUAUUGCACAAUGGGCGAAAGCCUGAUGCAGCGACGCCGCGUGAGGGAUGACGGCCUUCGGGUUGUAAACCUCUUUCAGCAGGGAAGAAGCGCAAGUGACGGUACCUGCAGAAGAAGCGCCGGCUAACUACGUGCCAGCACCCGCGGUAAUACGUAGGGCGCAAGCGUUGUCCGGAAUUAUUGGGCGUAAAGAGCUCGUACGCGGCUUGUCACGUCGGAUGUGAAAGCCCGGGGCUUAACCCCGGGUCUGCAUUCUAUACGGGCUAGCUAGAGUGUGGUAGGGGAGAUCGGAAUUCCUGGUGUAGCGGUGAAAUGCGCAGAUAUCAGGAGGAACACCGGUGGCGAACGCGGAUCUCUGGGCCAUUACUGACGCUGAGGAGCGAAAGCGUGGGGAGCGAACACGAUUAGAUACCCUGGUAGUCCACGCCGUAGACGUUAGGAACUACGUGUGGCCGACAUUCCACGUCGUCAGUGCCGCAGCUAACGCAUUUAGUUCCCCGCCUGGGGACUACUGCCGCAAGCUAAACUCAAGUAUUGACGGGAGGCCCGCGCAAACAGCCGAGCCUUGUGGCCUUAAAUCGAAGCAACGCGAAUAAACCUACCAUGC